UGUAAUAUCAUUUAACCCCUUUGUACUGAUAAAUUUUUGAUCAGUGGAGGAAGGACUGUACGGUUAGGAUGAUGGUAGUUUCUUAGGGCUGGGUCGGUGGUUGGUUGAAUAGUAUGAUCUAAUGGAUAAAAAUAUUAAAAAGAUAAAUCUAACGGCGAAAAUUCGUGAGUAUAAAAUGGUCUAUACUUAUAAGAGUAUAGUAGCCGGACUCAUAUCAUAUACUGAAACAUAUAAUAAUAUAAUGAAUAUAAAUAGAAGAAAAACUUAUGUAAGUAG
This 276-nucleotide long non-coding RNA is filed under the name Ananas comosus (pineapple). RNAcentral describes it as "long non-coding RNA (ACOM_LNC032132)". The record is from RNAcentral. Lineage: Eukaryota; Viridiplantae; Streptophyta; Magnoliopsida; Poales; Bromeliaceae.